This is an RNA transcript of Manihot esculenta (cassava), 3733 nucleotides long. It is a transcript of the gene named AUGMIN subunit 5, with no coding region annotated. The record is from RefSeq and is a predicted model, not a curated record. The transcript has 8 exons. Lineage: Eukaryota; Viridiplantae; Streptophyta; Magnoliopsida; Malpighiales; Euphorbiaceae.
GUUAGAUAGUGGAAUUUGAUGAUUACGUAAAUGAUACACAAAAUUCAUAACUUAACAAAAGCAGCACAGAGAGGGCGGGACCUCCAUUUUUGAAUCUUUUCAUCACAAUUUCUUUUCUUUACACUCUCAACUACCCACCAUUGCUUUCCAUUUCUGCAAAUCCUAUUGAAGCUAUCCAUCUCGAUUAUCUGUUUCUUUCUUCUGUUUUCUUCUCUUUGCCCCUGACCCACCACAUUUGUCAGAUCUGCUUCUCCUCUCUCUCACUCACUAUUCAAAUCUAGGGUUUUUAGUUUUUUUUAACCCCUUUUUUCUUUGCCUCGCUCUGAAUUUACAUUGAUGCUCAAGUUAGUCCCUAUUUGAAUAUAGGGAGCUAACCCUCGAUUUGUAUUUUCUUAAGUGUACAUGGAGUUUUAGAUUUCACUGGGAAAUCGAAACUCCUAAAAUUUUCCACAAUGCAGAGCUCAGGUAGCUCAGUAGCUCAACCAGAGGUCAUAUUGGACUGGCUUCAGAAAGAGAUGGGCUACAGGCCGUUGGGACCGUACACUGCCUCUACGAACAAAUCCCAGUUGCCCUCCAUUGAUGCGCUUCGCAAGAUCUGCCGUGGAAACAUGCUACCCAUUUGGAGUUUCUUGACAAAGAGAGUGAAAUCGGAGAAGACUGUCGAAAAUAUAAGAAAGAAUAUGGUGGUGCAUGGUGGUGUGGCUGUUGAGACUGGUGGCUCUGUGAAUUUGGGGAAAGAGGAAGGUCGGAGUAAAGGAGGGAGGAGGAAGGAAAAGACAGUUGGGGAGAGUUCUAGCUCGGCAGAGAAUCGGGAAGCCGCUUUGCAUGAGAGGAAUUUGGCGGCGAAGGAGGUAGAGAGGUUGAGAAACAUUGUAAGGAGGCAGAGGAAGGAUUUGAGAGCUAGGAUGAUGGAGGUCUCGAGAGAGGAGGCUGAGCGGAAGAGAAUGCUUGAUGAGCGUGCAAAAAACAGGCAUAAGCAGGUGAUGUUGGAGGCUUAUGAUCAACAAUGUGAUGAAGCAGCAAAAAUAUUUGUAGAGUAUCAUAAACGUCUCUGUCACUAUGUUAAUGGAGCGAGGAAUUCUCAACGAUCAAGUGUUGAUUCGUUCCUUGAAGUAGUUAAUAGCCUUAGUGCAAACGGUAAAAAGGAGGCUGUAUAUUCUACUGUUAAGGGCACUAAAUCUGCAGAUGACAUUGUCCUCAUUGAAACAACUAGGGAAAAAAAUAUUCGGAAGGCAUGUGAAUCUCUUGCAGUUUAUAUGAUUGAUAGAAUACGCAAUUCUUUUCCAGCUUAUGAAGGAAGUGGCAUUCAUUUGAAUCCUCAAUUAGAAGCGGCCAAGUUGGGAAUUGAUUUUGAUGGGGAACUACCCAAUGAAGUUAGAACUACCAUUAUGAAUUGCUUGAAGAAUCCUCCCCAAUUACUUGAGGCAAUUACUGCAUAUGCGUCACACCUGAAAACUUUGAUUUCUAGAGAAAUAGAGAAAAUUGAUGUUAGAGCUGAUGCAGAAACCUUGAGAUACAAGUAUGAGAACAACAAAGUAAUGGAUAUUUCUUCUCCUGAUGUAAUAUCGCCAUUAAAUUAUCAACUUUAUGGCAAUGGAAAGGUUGCAACAGAUGUACCCUCUAGAGGAAGCCAAAAUCAACUUCUUGAAAGACAGAAAGCUCAUGUUCAGCAAUUUUUAGCUACUGAAGAUGCAAUAAACAAAGCUGCAGAAGCUAGGGAUAUGUAUCAAAAGCUCAUAAAACGCUUGCAUGGUAGUGGUGGUGUAAUUUCAUCUAACUCGCUUAGUGUUGGUGGCCCAUCACAGAACACGGGCAGUCUCAGGCAAUUUGAGUUGGAGGUUUGGGCCAAGGAGAGAGAAACUGCUGGACUGAGGGCAAGCUUGAGUACCUUGAUGUCUGAAGUCCAAAGGUUAAAUAAGCUGUGUGCAGAAAGGAAAGAAGCUGAAGAUUCUUUGAGAAAGAAGUGGAAGAAAAUUGAAGAGUUUGAUGCACGCAGAUCUGAACUUGAAGCCAUAUAUACUGCUUUAUUGAAGUCUAACAUGGAUGCUGCUGCAUUUUGGAAUCAACAGCCAUUGGCUGCAAGGGAAUUUGCAUCAAGUACUAUAAUUCCAGCAUGUACUGUUGUUGCAGAUAUUGCAAACAACGCAAAAGAUCUUAUUGAUAAAGAAGUUAAUGCCUUUUCUCAAAGUCCUGAUAAUAGCUUAUACAUGCUUCCUUCAACCCCUCAGGCUCUUUUGGAGUCUAUGGGUUCUAUCGGAUCUACAGGACCUGAAGCUCUUGCUGCUGCUGAGAAGAAUGCUGCUUUAUUGACAGCAAGAGCUGGUGCUAGAGAUCCAUCAGCAAUUCCAUCCAUAUGUCGUGUAUCUGCUGCUCUUCAGUAUCCUGCUGGUAAGUUCUUAUUCAUUCAUAUGGCUAGAGGUAUGGCUACCUUUUUGUAUUGCUCCUUGGCAGGUUAUUAGGUGAGGCUGCAAUUGGAACAUAUUCAUUUGUUAGGUAUCCUCCAAAAUACUGAAAUAAAUAUUGGGUUUGAAGCUAUUGCACUAUUAUUCACUGGAACUGAAUUAUCAGCGAGAUCUUGUUACAUUUUUUUGGUAAACAAAUUGUUGGGGAUACUCCUUGAAAAGGUUUUGAUGUCCUAAUAACAUUUAUCCUCAGAAGAGUGGCACAGGUUUUGGCUCAUAUUUGUCUGGACGCUAAUAAAUCUGGAUGAGGCUUUGGGUGAUUUAAAUUCCAUGUAGAAGCCAGACUUAUACAUGGUGUGAUUUAUUUAUAAAGAAAAUAAUAUUCAGCAUAAGUUAUUAAGAGAAGCUUUUUUUCCCCUUUCAUUAAGGGUUGGCUUGACCACAGUCCUCGCUGUGCUGUGCGUUGCAUCAUACACCUGAAGCCUAAUACUUGAUCUUGUUGUGAGGCAAAGACAAAAAUUGGCCCUUGGCAUUGCACUAACUUAAAAUUUAUAAUUAACUUUAUGAUUUGAUGACUACUAUAUGAUGGGGUAAAAUGUUUUUCUUCACAACUUCCACUGUUAGUUUGAGUAACUGCAGUUGAAUUGUCAGUGGUAUAAACUAUAAAGUUGAAAAUAAAUUGUGGUUAGUUGACAAUAUGCGCUGGUCUGAUCUCUGGCAGUCUAGCCCUAGCUAAGGUUGCUUUGAUGAAAAUUUAUUUCUUCUUAUUGACCGUAAUGGCAUAAUCAGUCUUGAAUAAGAGUUUUUUGCAUUGAACAGGAGAAAAGAGAUUUUUGGUAUAUAUUUGCUUCCCCAAAAUUAUAUUACAUAGUUUUUUUUGGCACUGCAGAAUGGUUGUGAACAGAAAAUAUUUAAUGAAUAAUGAUCUAACAUUAUUUCACAAUGGAAAGUUAUUUUCUGUACUUGAACAAAUUAUCUAAAUGCAUAGACAUACACAUGAGUCCACCACCAUUGUUGAUCAUUUUUGCCCAAUGCCCAAGAAUGACCUCUAAUUCUCCCCUAUUUAACUACAAAGAGAAUACCAUGAAGUCCUUGUAUGACCAAAAAUUUUAUAAUCGUAUUUAUUGAAUGUAAACAAGAUUUCUCAAUGCAUUCCAAAGGUCAAUAAAUAAAUUUCGACUAAUAUAUAGUUUUCUAACCAUAUAAUGAAACUAAGUCAUUUCUCGUAGAACAUUUUCGUAUUGACAGUUAUUUUCUGCAAAACAAACAAAUUGUAAUGGCUGUGUGUGCCUUGUUUUCAUAUGUAUUUUAUUAUAUCCCAAUUGAAUGAU